AUUGAACGCUGGCGGCAUGCCUUACACAUGCAAGUCGAACGGUAACAGGUCUUCGGAUGCUGACGAGUGGCGAACGGGUGAGUAAUACAUUGGAACGUGCCUAGUAGUGGGGGAUAACUACUCGAAAGAGUGGCUAAUACCGCAUGAGAUCUACGGAUGAAAGCAGGGGAUCGCAAGACCUUGCGCUACUAGAGCGGCCGAUGGCAGAUUAGGUAGUUGGUGAGAUAAAAGCUUACCAAGCCGACGAUCUGUAGCUGGUCUGAGAGGACGAUCAGCCACACUGGGACUGAGACACGGCCCAGACUCCUACGGGAGGCAGCAGUGGGGAAUUUUGGACAAUGGGCGCAAGCCUGAUCCAGCAAUGCCGCGUGCAGGAUGAAGGCCUUCGGGUUGUAAACUGCUUUUGUACGGAACGAAAAGCCCUGGGUUAAUACCCUGGGGUCAUGACGGUACCGUAAGAAUAAGCACCGGCUAACUACGUGCCAGCCGCCGCAGUAA
Molecule: ribosomal RNA, 498 nt
Filed under: uncultured bacterium
Lineage: Bacteria
Description: partial 16S ribosomal RNA
Rfam family: Bacterial small subunit ribosomal RNA
Source: RNAcentral